AUUGAACGCUGGCGGCAGGCCUAACACAUGCAAGUCGAACGGUAACAGGAAACAGCUUGCUGUUUCGCUGACGAGCGGCGGACGGGUGAGUAAUGUCUGGGAAACUGCCUGGUGGAGGGGGAUAACUACUGGAAACGGUAGCUAAUACCGCAUAAUGUCGCAAGACCAAAGAGAGGGACCUUCGGGCCUCUUGCCAUCGGAUGUGCCCAGAUGGGAUUAGCUUGUUGGUGGGGUAACGGCUCACCAAGGCGACGAUCCCUAGCUGGUCUGAGAGGAUGACCAGCCACACUGGAACUGAGACACGGUCCAGACUCCUACGGGAGGCAGCAGUGGGGAAUAUUGCACAAUGGGCGCAAGCCUGAUGCAGCCAUGCCGCGUGUAUGAAGAAGGCCUUCGGGUUGUAAAGUACUUUCAGCGGGGAGGAAGGGAGUAAAGUUAAUACCUUUGCUCAUUGACGUUACCCGCAGAAGAAGCACCGGCUAACUCCGUGCCAGCAGCCGCCGCCG
This 506-nucleotide ribosomal RNA is filed under the name uncultured bacterium. Its description in RNAcentral is "partial 16S ribosomal RNA". It matches the Rfam family "Bacterial small subunit ribosomal RNA", at positions 30 to 523 of the family's 1533-position model. The record is from RNAcentral.